AACCCAUAGUGAGGGCACCUUCUCAAUAAGUCCUUAUACCUCUCACAUGCAUCAUAUAACAUCUCUAAAUUGAUUUUUACAAAAAAAUAGAUAUCGUUCCUCAACUU
This is a non-coding RNA of Gossypium arboreum, 107 nucleotides long. The record is from Rfam. Lineage: Eukaryota; Viridiplantae; Streptophyta; Magnoliopsida; Malvales; Malvaceae.